RNAcentral lists this ribosomal RNA (302 nucleotides) under uncultured bacterium. RNAcentral's name for it is "bacterial SSU rRNA". It matches the Rfam family "Bacterial small subunit ribosomal RNA", at positions 29 to 359 of the family's 1533-position model. The record is from RNAcentral.
AACGAACGCUGGCGGCAGGCCUAACACAUGCAAGUCGAACGCACCGCAAGGUGAGUGGCGCACGGGUGAGUAACACGUGGGAAUGUACCCCUUUGGUUCGGAAUAACGUUUUGGAAACGAACGCUAAUACCGGAUGAGCCCUGUGGGGGAAAGAUUUAUCGCCAAAGGAGCAGCCCGCGUCUGAUUAGCUAGUUGGUGGGGUAAAGGCCUACCAAGGCGACGAUCAGUAGCUGGUCUGAGAGGAUGAUCAGCCACACUGGGACUGAGACACGGCCCAGACUCCUACGGGAGGCAGCAUGGGG